RNAcentral lists this ribosomal RNA (506 nucleotides) under uncultured Actinomycetes bacterium. RNAcentral describes it as "bacterial SSU rRNA". It matches the Rfam family "Bacterial small subunit ribosomal RNA", at positions 9 to 524 of the family's 1533-position model. The record is from RNAcentral. Lineage: Bacteria; Bacillati; Actinomycetota; Actinomycetes.
GAGUUUGAUCCUGGCUCAGGACGAACGCUGGCGGCGUGCUUAAAACAUGCAAGUCGAACGAGGUCCAUCCACUCCUUCGGGAGUGGUGAAGACCUAGUGGCGAACGGGUGCGUAACACAUGAGGAACCUGCCCCGGAGACCGGGAUAACCCUCCGAGAGGAGAGCUAAUACCGGAUGUCCCCACCGAGUCGCAUGGCUUGGUGCGGAAAUGGAUUCCGCUCCGGGAUGGCCUCGCGGCCUAUCAGCUUGUUGGUGAGGUAACGGCUCACCAAGGCAUCGACGGGUAGCUGGUCUGAGAGGACGAUCAGCCACACUGGGACUGAGACACGGCCCAGACUCCUACGGGAGGCAGCAGUUAGGAAUCUUGCGCAAUGGGCGAAAGCCUGACGCAGCAACGCCGCGUGGGGGAUGAAGGCUCUCGGGUUGUAAACCCUUUCAGCAGGGACGAUUAUGACGGUACCUGCAGAAGAAGGACCGGCCAACUACGUGCCAGCCGCCGCCGUAAG